AGCAUAGCUCGGCGUUGCCCAGUAUGUAAGAAACUUUAUCGAUAAGCAAUGCCCUUUACCUUUUUACCCUUUUUUGUACUCAUUGAACCGUUAUUUUGUAAAAUGAAGCCUAAAAGGCAAUAAGGUAUUCAAGGCACCGUUCCCUCGCAUACAUGAAGUAGGCAAAAUCUAUGCCAUAGUCAAACUGCAUUUU
Long non-coding RNA from Octopus sinensis (East Asian common octopus), 193 nucleotides. RefSeq lists it as uncharacterized. The transcript is spliced from 3 exons. The record is from RefSeq and is a predicted model, not a curated record. NCBI's taxonomy places the organism in Eukaryota, Metazoa, Mollusca, Cephalopoda, Octopoda, Octopodidae.